GGGUUUUCCUCCUUUUCGGUUGUGGGGACGGAGCAGCCUUCUGUUGUUUUCGCUUCUUGGGAGAAGGUCCCUUUGGAGCUUUGGACACUUGCUUCCCCUUGUCUGCCUUUUUGCCCCUGGCCACCGGUUUAUCGGCAUCAUGAAUUGAUCGCAGCAUGUCCGGUGUCAGUUCCCUCGGACCAGUUUGGCGAAACUCUUUGAUCGUCCUGAUCAGUCUGCUAUCGGCGGACACAUCAGCAUACAUCGACUUAGGGAUAUAGCCAAUGAAUGAGAACUUUGAUGCAUCGGAUACGAUGAUCUUCUUGGUAUGAAACGUACCAAUAGAAGACAUCGGUGCACCGUCGGCUGUUGGAACGUUAAACUUGUCCAUGGCCCAUCUUGUGAUCAAGAUCCAGAACCGAGCCAGCGACACCUCGGAGUGUCGGGAAGAGGAAGAGAGGCUCUGAAUCAGUUGUUGCCAAAGGACAAACCCAUAGUCCAGAUUUAUCCCAUUGUACACCCCAUACAUAAUCGAUAGGAAAAGACGACUGGCCCCGUCAGAUCCUGAGCUCCUCUCUGACAGUCCCUUGAAGAGAACUAUAAAUAACCCAUUCCACUGAGGCGGUAGGCAGGAUUUCUUGAACUUGGCGACGGAGGUGAGAACCUCGGUGUAGCCCAUGCUGUAAAACAUGUUGUACAGCAUACCAACCGGAAUCGUCUCCGGGUGAACUCGCGACGGGUCAGCAGCAAACCCCAACAUCGUGCAAAAACGGGGGCGAGAAAUCGACGUCUUGUGUUCUGCCAAUUCGAAGAAUACCCUGUCAGUAGGCAGGAUUUCUUGAACUUGGCGACGGAGGUGAGAACCUCGGUGUAGCCCAUGCUGUAAAACAUGUUGUACAGCAUACCAACCGGAAUCGUCUCCGGGUGAACUCGCGACGGGUCAGCAGCAAACCCCAACAUCGUGCAAAAACGGGGGCGAGAAAUCGACGUCUUGUGUUCUGCCAAUUCGAAGAAUACCCUGUCAACAGCCUUGUCGUAGUAAGCCGUCGCGUAGACCUGAGAUAAGGCCACCAUUGGCACCGUUUCAAUCCGUGACAGUGCAGGAGCAAGCUGGGAGUACUUGAGACACUCGAUGAUCGGCGACAUGUAGGAGUCAUACGCCAGUGGAUUCAGAUCAAUGACCAGGCAUUGCUGAGGUCGGAUGGGAAGAAUCUGAGAAGUUGCAUGAACAGAUGAAGAUUCAGCCAUUGUUGCAGGUUUGGUGAAGAAGAUGACCGGGAGAGUGUUUAGAAGUAUUUUUGCUUUGGAAAUUAUGGGGGCAGUAAAGAGGUAAAAGGUGGUGUUGAUGGGUUUUUAUAGUAGGUGAUAGGAGAGAGAAAAAUCGUUUCAAAUCUCUUAUGGAAAUACGAAACGGGUUUUUGGAGUGACUGAUUGGUGACAGUUGGGACGUGCGAUGAU
RNAcentral lists this long non-coding RNA (1437 nucleotides) under Lactuca sativa (garden lettuce). Its description in RNAcentral is "long non-coding RNA (LSAT_LNC005275)". The record is from RNAcentral. Lineage: Eukaryota; Viridiplantae; Streptophyta; Magnoliopsida; Asterales; Asteraceae.